This 863-nucleotide ribosomal RNA is filed under the name uncultured bacterium. Its description in RNAcentral is "bacterial SSU rRNA". It matches the Rfam family "Bacterial small subunit ribosomal RNA", at positions 85 to 986 of the family's 1533-position model. The record is from RNAcentral.
GUAUAACUUAGUGGCAGACGGGUGAGUAAUGUAUAGGAAUCUACCUAGUAGUACGGAAUAAUUGUUGGAAACGGCAACUAAUACCGUAUACGCCCUACGGGGGAAAAAUUUAUUGCUAUUAGAUGAGCCUAUAUUAGAUUAGUUAGUUGGUGAGGUAAAGGCUUACCAAGACAAUGAUCUAUAGCUGAUCUGAGAGGAUGAUCAGCCACACUGGAACUGAGAUACGGUCCAGACUCCUACGGGAGGCAGCAGUGGGGAAUAUUGGACAAUGGGCGAAAGCCUGAUCCAGCCAUGCCGCAUGAGUGAAGAAGGCCUUCGGGUUGUAAAGCUCUUUUAGUGAGGAAGAUAAUGACGGUACUCACAGAAGAAGUCCUGGCUAACUCCGUGCCAGCAGCCGCGGUAAUACGGAGAGGGCUAGCGUUAUUCGGAAUCAUUGGGCGUAAAGGGCGCGUAGGCGGGUUAGUAAGUUAAAAGUGAAAUCCCAAGGCUCAACCCUGGAACCGCUUUUAAAACUGCUAGUCUAGAGAUUGAAAGAGGAUAGAGGAAUUCCUAGUGUAGAGGUGAAAUUCGUAAAUAUUAGGAGGAAUACCAGUGGCGAAGGCGUCUAUCUGGUUCAAAUCUGACGCUGAGGCGCGAAGGCGUGGGGAGCAAACAGGAUUAGAUACCCUGGUAGUCCACGCUGUAAACGAUGAAUGUUAAAUAUGNGAAGUUUACUUUCUGUAUUAUAGCUAACGCGUUAAACAUUCCGCCUGGGGACUACGGUCGCAAGAUUAAAACUCAAAGGAAUUGACGGGGACCCGCACAAGCGGUGGAGCAUGUGGUUUAAUUCGAUGCAACGCGAAAAACCUUACCACUCCUUGACA